UACAGAGGUCUCAAGCGUUGUUCGGAUUCAUUGGGCGUAAAGGGCGCGUAGGCGGCGGUGUAAGUCGGGUGUGAAAUCUCAGAGCUCAACUCUGAAACUGCACUCGAUACUGCUCUGCUUGAGGACUGGAGAGGAGACUGGAAUUCACGGUGUAGCAGUGAAAUGCGUAGAUAUCUGGAGGAACACCGGUGGCGAAGGCGGCGUUCUGGACUGCUACUGACACUGAGGAACGAAAGCCAGGGGAGCAAACGGG
Molecule: ribosomal RNA, 253 nt
Filed under: uncultured bacterium
Lineage: Bacteria
Description: partial 16S ribosomal RNA
Rfam family: Bacterial small subunit ribosomal RNA
Source: RNAcentral